ACUAUCACCGUUCUGAAUGCCUACGUUUCCUCCAGCCUACGUGAAGAAAAGAGAAGCAAAAAUGGCGCUCUCCAGGCUUAGCACGCUCGUAGUCAGACGAUCAUUUGGAACUUCUGCGAGGAGAUUUGGCGCUCAUUAUGGAGAAGGACCUGGAAGUAAUGUGCCAUUUCAAACCCAGAAUAAGUGGCGGUUACUGGCUGUAAUGACAACGUUUUUUGGUGUUGGCUUCACUGCACCCUUCCUUUUGGUAGCCCAUCAAAUGAAGAAGAAAUAAACUUCAUCACGCACGACCUCAGGAGAUUGUAAGAUACGACAAAAUGACCCGAUGUGCUUCAAGUUCAGGAUGCCUCGUCCGAGAUUACGCCCUCUCAAUGAUGUCUUUCACCCCUGUCUCUCAGUGUCUCUCAAGAUUCCUGUUUUCCCCAAGUCUGCGCAACCCAUCUCUACACCCCAAUCACGCCCCAAGUCUGCACAGCCCAUCUCUACACCCAAUCACGGAAUAAAAAGAGAGAGACAACCACUUACAGAUUGAGAGCGCCACUUUAUUUUUUACCUCCAUGACGUCCAAUGACAUGACUCAAACAUUAAUUUAGCACAUUAUAGCUAAUUACAGUGACAUUUUCAUUUCAAAUGUAGCUAGCUGUACAUUUAUGUAAAACUCAGCGUUGUUAAACAUUACUUAUUGUUGUAAAAUAACUUCUUUUACAUGAAGUGUUUAUUGACAUUUGAAAAGAAAUGGAUUAUAGGUUUGAUUAAAGUUAUUCACACUAUUGUGAGUAAAUAUCUUAUUUCAGAGAGAAAUCAUGUUGCAUUUUAUUCAUAUGAGAACUAGAAAAGUUGCAUUGCUAUAAAAAUACAUCCAUAUUAGAAUGAAUUGUGCAGUGAAUGCAUGAGGUUAGUCUUUG
Strongylocentrotus purpuratus (purple sea urchin) is the source of this 905-nucleotide long non-coding RNA. RefSeq lists it as uncharacterized. The record is from RefSeq and is a predicted model, not a curated record. NCBI's taxonomy places the organism in Eukaryota, Metazoa, Echinodermata, Echinoidea, Camarodonta, Strongylocentrotidae. The transcript is spliced from 3 exons.